UGGGUCGGCAAGACGGUCGCGUCAGCCUUCGGGCUGCCGAGGAACGUCCGGGCUCCGCAGAGCAGGGCGGUGGGCAACACCCACCCGGGGCAACCCGCGAGACAGUGCCACAGAGAACAGACCGCCUCUCGUCGUCAGACCUGAGGUAAGGGUGAAACGGUGGGGUAAGAGCCCACCAGCGACCGGGGUGACCCGGCCGGCUCGGCAAACCUCGCCCGGAGCAAGGUCAGACAGGGGACCAUGAGACUGCUCGUCUCGUCCCCGGGUAGACCGCUGGAGCGGCGCGGCAACGUGUCGCCGAGAGAGAUGGCCGUCCAGGAAUCCGCGGGAAACGCGAUUCCGAACAGAACCCGGCGUAUCAGCCGGCCCAUUCC
Molecule: RNase P RNA, 374 nt
Filed under: Gryllotalpicola protaetiae
Lineage: Bacteria; Bacillati; Actinomycetota; Actinomycetes; Micrococcales; Microbacteriaceae
Description: Bacterial RNase P class A
Rfam family: Bacterial RNase P class A
About the family: Ribonuclease P (RNase P) is a ubiquitous endoribonuclease, found in archaea, bacteria and eukarya as well as chloroplasts and mitochondria.
Source: Rfam by way of RNAcentral